CCAAUAAGAGCGGAAAGUAUCAAGAUUUAGCUCUCCCUGAUCUCGAAAACUUUACUAGUGACCAAAUGUUUUUCAUCUCAAACGCUGUAGUAUGGUGUAACGCCAUGCGCGACGAAGCAAUGCGACAAAGGAUUCAGUACAACCCACACAGCCCUACGAAAUACAGGACUCUGGUACCUAUGAGCAACAUGGAUGCAUUUUCAGCGGCAUUUUCAUGCGAAGAAGG
Ornithodoros turicata is the source of this 226-nucleotide long non-coding RNA. RefSeq lists it as uncharacterized. NCBI's taxonomy places the organism in Eukaryota, Metazoa, Arthropoda, Arachnida, Ixodida, Argasidae. The transcript has 3 exons. The record is from RefSeq and is a predicted model, not a curated record.